Molecule: RNA transcript, 1436 nt
Organism: Panthera uncia (snow leopard)
Lineage: Eukaryota; Metazoa; Chordata; Mammalia; Carnivora; Felidae
Gene: KHDRBS3
Gene name: KH RNA binding domain containing, signal transduction associated 3
Exons: 11
Source: RefSeq, a predicted model, not a curated record
GGCGAGCAUGGAGGAGAAGUACCUGCCGGAGCUGAUGGCGGAGAAGGACUCCCUGGACCCCUCCUUCACGCACGCUCUGCGGCUGGUGAACCAAGAAAUAGAAAAGUUUCAGAAAGGAGAAGGCAAGGACGAAGAAAAGUACAUCGAUGUGGUGAUUAAUAAGAACAUGAAGCUGGGACAGAAAGUGUUAAUUCCUGUAAAGCAGUUCCCUAAGUUCAACUUUGUGGGGAAACUUUUGGGUCCCCGUGGCAAUUCUCUGAAGCGCUUACAAGAAGAAACCUUGACGAAAAUGUCCAUCCUUGGAAAAGGUUCCAUGCGAGACAAGGCAAAGGAAGAAGAGUUGAGGAAGAGUGGGGAAGCAAAAUACUUUCACCUCAACGACGACCUCCACGUUCUCAUCGAAGUGUUCGCUCCACCAGCAGAAGCAUAUGCCCGGAUGGGACACGCACUGGAGGAAAUCAAAAAGUUCCUCAUUCCUGACUAUAAUGAUGAAAUCAGGCAAGCACAGCUCCAAGAGUUGACGUAUUUGAAUGGUGGUUCAGAAAACGCGGACGUCCCAGUUGUUCGAGGAAAACCCACCUUGCGUACAAGAGGUGUACCAGCCCCAGCAGUAACCAGGGGAAGGGGAGGAGUCACAGCCCGGCCAGUUGGAGUUGGUGUACCACGAGGGACGCCGGCUUCCAGGGGAGUCCUUUCCACCCGAGGGCCAGUGAGUCGGGGAAGAGGGCUUCUCACUCCCAGAGCAAGAGGAGUGCCCCCAACUGGGUACAGACCUCCGCCGCCACCCCCAACACAAGAGACCUACGGAGAUUAUGACUAUGAUGAUGGUUAUGGCACUGCUUAUGACGAACAGAGUUAUGAUUCCUAUGAUAACAGCUAUAGCACCCCUGCCCAAAGUGGUGCUGAUUACUAUGAUUACGGACAUGGACUCAGCGAAGAGACGUACGAUUCCUACGGGCAAGAGGACUGGACUAACUCAAGACACAAGGCACCUUCAGCGAGGACAGCAAAGGGCGUCUACAGAGACCAGCCAUAUGGCAGAUACUGAUUGUACUGUCUGAUGUUGUGAAAUAGCCAAUCUCCACCAGUCCUGUAUACUGUUCAAAGAAAUGUCAGCCAUCUUGGGAAGUCAAAGGAACCGGUUGUGCCCGGGGAGCAAACAAAGGGGCUUUCCCUCAAGUUGUGGACUGCUUACGAAUUGUCAACUCACCAACGUGCCUAGUCAGUAAAUGAAUUCACUUGGGAGCUUGAAAAUCGUCUUAAUUUUUUGUUUCACAAUUUUAUGUCCUGUGAAAUGUUUUUAUAAAAUGGUAUGCUUUUUUAAUUUGGAAAGCCUGUUUUAAAAAAGGGAAGGAAAAUCCCGUCUUAUUUUGUGGUCUCCCAACAACGAACGAACAAAUGAUCUGUGUAUCACUUAAUAAAGGCUGUCCGUUUCA